GCAUCGGUAGUCUAACGGUAGGAUUUCGGCCUUCCAAGCCGGUGGUCCGGGUUCAAAUCCCGGCCGAUGCA
RNAcentral lists this transfer RNA (71 nucleotides) under Candidatus Woesearchaeota archaeon. Its description in RNAcentral is "tRNA-Gly". It matches the Rfam family "tRNA". Rfam says of the family: Transfer RNA (tRNA) molecules are approximately 80 nucleotides in length. Their secondary structure includes four short double-helical elements and three loops (D, anti-codon, and T loops). The record is from RNAcentral. Lineage: Archaea; Nanobdellati; Candidatus Woesearchaeota.